This 119-nucleotide ribosomal RNA is filed under the name Cronobacter sakazakii ES15. The record is from RNAcentral. Lineage: Bacteria; Pseudomonadati; Pseudomonadota; Gammaproteobacteria; Enterobacterales; Enterobacteriaceae.
GUCUGGCGGCUGUAGCGCGGUGGUCCCACCUGACCCCAUGCCGAACUCAGAAGUGAAACGCCGUAGCGCCGAUGGUAGUAUGGGGCCUCCCCAUGCGAGAGUAGGGAACUGCCAGACAU